CCUACGGGUGGCAGCAGUGGGGAAUAUUGCACAAUGGGGGAAACCCUGAUGCAGUGACGCCGCGUGAGUGAAGAAGUAAUUCGGUAUGUAAAGCUCUAUCAGCAGAGAAGAAAAUGACGGUACCUGAGUAAUAAGCACCGGCUAACUACGUGCCAGCAGCCGCGGUAAUACGUAGGGGGCAAGCGUUAUCCGGAUUUACUGGGUGUAAAGGGAGCGUAGACGGGCGUGCAAGUCUGGAGUGAAAGGCGGGGGCUCAACCCCAGAACUGCUCUGGAAACUGUAAGGCUGGAGUGCAGGAGAGGUAAGUGGAAUUCUUGGUGUAGCGGUGAAAUGCGUAGAUAUUAGGAGGAACACCCGUUGCGAAGGCGGCCUACUGGACUGUAACUGACGUUGAUGCUCGAAAGCGUGGGGAGCAAACAGGAUUAGAUACCCGGGUAGUC
Molecule: ribosomal RNA, 440 nt
Filed under: uncultured bacterium
Lineage: Bacteria
Description: partial 16S ribosomal RNA
Rfam family: Bacterial small subunit ribosomal RNA
Source: RNAcentral